RNAcentral lists this transfer RNA (89 nucleotides) under Actinomycetes bacterium. RNAcentral's name for it is "tRNA-Ser". It matches the Rfam family "tRNA". Rfam says of the family: Transfer RNA (tRNA) molecules are approximately 80 nucleotides in length. Lineage: Bacteria; Bacillati; Actinomycetota; Actinomycetes. RNAcentral also lists the same sequence under 3 other names. The record is from RNAcentral.
GGAGAGGUGCCAGAGUCCGGCCGAUCGGGCCUCCCUGCUAAGGAGGUGGCGGGUAACACCGCCCGUGGGUUCGAAUCCCACCCUCUCCG